This 101-nucleotide ribosomal RNA is filed under the name Myagropsis myagroides. Lineage: Eukaryota; Phaeophyceae; Fucales; Sargassaceae. The record is from RNAcentral.
GAUUCGUUUCUAUGCCUAGAUUUUAUACCCGAACCCUUAUUGAAUUCGAGUGUCCUCGUCUAGGUAGCCACACAUACUAGUUUUUCUGGGAACCAUGGCUC